UGUGAGCUCGAUGAGUAGGGCGGGACACGUGGUAUCCUGUCUGAAUAUGGGGGGACCAUCCUCCAAGGCUAAAUACUCCUGACUGACCGAUAGUGAACCAGUACCGUGAGGGAAAGGCGAAAAGAACCCCGGCGAGGGGAGUGAAAAAGAACCUGAAACCGUGUACGUACAAGCAGUGGGAGCACGCUUAGGCGUGUGACUGCGUACCUUUUGUAUAAUGGGUCAGCGACUUAUAUUCUGUAGCAAGGUUAACCGAAUAGGGGAGCCGAAGGGAAACCGAGUCUUAACUGGGCGUUAAGUUGCAGGGUAUAGACCCGAAACCCGGUGAUCUAGCCAUGGGCAGGUUGAAGGUUGGGUAACACUAACUGGAGGACCGAACCGACUAAUGUUGAAAAAUUAGCGGAUGACUUGUGGCUGGGGGUGAAAGGCCAAUCAAACCGGGAGAUAGCUGGUUCUCCCCGAAAGCUAUUUAGGUAGCGCCUCGUGAAUUCAUCUCCGGGGGUAGAGCACUGUUUCGGCAAGGGGGUCAUCCCGACUUACCAACCCGAUGCAAACUGCGAAUACCGGAGAAUGUUAUCACGGGAGACACACGGCGGGUGCUAACGUCCGUCGUGAAGAGGGAAACAACCCAGACCGCCAGCUAAGGUCCCAAAGUCAUGGUUAAGUGGGAAACGAUGUGGGAAGGCCCAGACAGCCAGGAUGUUGGCUUAGAAGCAGCCAUCAUUUAAAGAAAGCGUAAUAGCUCACUGGUCGAGUCGGCCUGCGCGGAAGAUGUAACGGGGCUAAACCAUGCACCGAAGCUGCGGCAGCGACGCUUAUGCG
RNAcentral lists this ribosomal RNA (822 nucleotides) under Escherichia coli. RNAcentral's name for it is "partial 23S ribosomal RNA". It matches the Rfam family "Bacterial large subunit ribosomal RNA", at positions 398 to 1220 of the family's 2925-position model. Lineage: Bacteria; Pseudomonadati; Pseudomonadota; Gammaproteobacteria; Enterobacterales; Enterobacteriaceae. The record is from RNAcentral.